Molecule: non-coding RNA, 22 nt
Filed under: Rattus norvegicus (Norway rat)
Lineage: Eukaryota; Metazoa; Chordata; Mammalia; Rodentia; Muridae
Source: RNAcentral
AAGGUACAGCUUGAAGGUUUGU